Molecule: long non-coding RNA, 297 nt
Filed under: Phasianus colchicus (ring-necked pheasant)
Lineage: Eukaryota; Metazoa; Chordata; Aves; Galliformes; Phasianidae
Description: lncRNA (ENSPCLG00000002424.1)
Source: RNAcentral
GAAACAUCAACAGUAGUUUUAGAGACAAUUUUCAUAGCACCAGAAGAUUCAGGGAUGAUCCUCAGAAAAUCCUGCUGUUCUGUGCCUAUUCUAGCACCACGUGGCCAAAUCAGCCAUAGAAGAGUAGGAGUACAACUGUGCAUGAAAGAUUUCAGUUGGAAGAAGCUUUGGAUACAAUCUUCCAGAAGGAACCAACACCUUGUAAGGAUAAAAUUAGAGAUGAGAUGUUAAUUUCUGAAAUCCAAAUCUGUUGCUAAAAUGUGAAUAAACAAAAUGAUCUGCCAAUUUUAUGACCCA